AUGUGUGUGUGUGCAGUAUUUGGCGUUGUGUUAGCGCGUCCACCUCCCGGUCGUUUCGGCCCGCACGGUUCCUCCGAGGGUGCUCUUCGCCGAGUGUCCGAGGCGGCCG
This 109-nucleotide long non-coding RNA is filed under the name Octopus sinensis (East Asian common octopus). RNAcentral's name for it is "uncharacterized LOC118762102, transcript variant X1". The record is from RNAcentral. Lineage: Eukaryota; Metazoa; Mollusca; Cephalopoda; Octopoda; Octopodidae.